Molecule: long non-coding RNA, 904 nt
Filed under: Brachypodium distachyon (stiff brome)
Lineage: Eukaryota; Viridiplantae; Streptophyta; Magnoliopsida; Poales; Poaceae
Description: long non-coding RNA (BDIS_LNC000938)
Source: RNAcentral
UUGCCAAGCGAAUUUGUCGAGUUUAACUUUUUGAAAGGGUUGUUCUAUGACUUCGCGAUUCAUACGUCGAACGCCGACAACGCAGACUGUAACAUCCCAAUUUUCAAAACCCUUCAUGUGCAUUGCAUAUCAUGAGCAUCAUGUCACUCUUGCAUUUAAUCACCUUUGAAAACCUUAAAAUUUACCCAGAAACUCUUUUGCAAAUAGUGCCUUGAUUUGAAUUUUGGCUUCGAUCUUGCUUAUGAGCAUUAUGUACUUUAACCCAUGAAGGUUUUGGUAUAAAAAGAGGUUGAAUGCAUAUAUAUAGCUAUCCCAUAUAUUGGCCUUUGAAAUUAUUUCGAAAAACAAUUUAUUUUGAUAUUCUAUAAGGCCCUAAAGGCUAUUCUAUAAUCAAAAGUAUUUUUAAAUAUUUUAUUUUGAGGAAAUUCUUGUUCCGAAAGUUAGAUCAUAUGAAAAUAUGAUUUUACAAAUUUUGUUGCAAUUUAUUUGGAGUGAUUUGGAGCUUUGAAUCAAUUUUAAGGUUCAAAAACAGAAAAUAGAAAAAAGAAAAGAAAAACUGAAGCCGAAUCGGACCGGAUCGACCGGCCCAGCCCGAGCCGCCUGGACUCUCUCAAUGACCGGCAGGCCCCGCCAUCGUCCCUACCUCCAACCGCCUCCGGAUUCCAUGCCGCGCACGACCGCGAGUCUGCCCACGAUGCCUCUCGCGAUUUCGUCGCGCACGAGCCACCAUAUUCGAAACUCCGCGGGUCACUUUGAAUCCCCCGGCCUCCUCUACCUUUUCCCCAAACUGCCUCGCCCGAUUUCGCCUUCUCCUCACGUUAAUUUCUCGCCAGAGGAAGUUCCCGACCGCCGCCGUCCUCGCGAAACCGCCGACACCCCGAUGAGUAUUUCACCCGUUGGCCGC